Oryctolagus cuniculus (rabbit) is the source of this 129-nucleotide small nucleolar RNA. The record is from Ensembl. NCBI's taxonomy places the organism in Eukaryota, Metazoa, Chordata, Mammalia, Lagomorpha, Leporidae.
CUAGCACUUUCACAGGUCCUCCCCCAGGCACUGGGGACAGACCCUGGCAACUGGUGCUAAGAGAAAACCCUUGACUGUAUCUUUGAUGUGGGACUGUACUGGUGGCAGUUGUCACUCAAUGGGACAGAG